This 345-nucleotide unclassified non-coding RNA is filed under the name soil metagenome. Its description in RNAcentral is "partial contains 5.8S ribosomal RNA, internal transcribed spacer 2, and large subunit ribosomal RNA". The stretch from base 1 to 119 matches the Rfam family "5.8S ribosomal RNA", at positions 35 to 154 of the family's 154-position model. The record is from RNAcentral.
GAUGCAGAACGCAGCGAAAUGCGAUACGUAAUGUGAAUUGCAAAUUCAGUGAAUCAUCGAGUCUUUGAACGCACAUUGCGCCCCCUGGUAUUCCGGGGGGCAUGCCUGUCCGAGCGUCAUUGCUGCCCUCAAGCACGGCUUGUGUGUUGGGCCCCGUCCUCCGAUCCCGGGGGACGGGCCCGAAAGGCAGCGGCGGCACCGCGUCCGGUCCUCGAGCGUAUGGGGCUUUGUCACCCGCUCUGUAGGCCCGGCCGGCGCUUGCCGAUCAACCCAAAUUUUUAUCCAGGUUGACCUCGGAUCAGGUAGGGAUACCCGCUGAACUUAAGCAUAUCAAUAAGCGGAGGA